CUGCAACUCGCCUGCAUGAAGUCGGAAUUGCUAGUAAUCGUAGGUCAGCAUACUACGGUGAAUACGUUCCCGGGCCUUGUACACACCGCCCGUCAAGCCAUGAGAGUUGGCAACACCCGAAGUCGGUAGUCUAACCGCAAGGAGGACGCCGCCGAAGGUGGGGUUGAUGAUUAGGGUUAAGUCGUAACAAGGUAAC
RNAcentral lists this ribosomal RNA (196 nucleotides) under uncultured bacterium. Its description in RNAcentral is "partial 16S ribosomal RNA". It matches the Rfam family "Bacterial small subunit ribosomal RNA", at positions 1305 to 1500 of the family's 1533-position model. The record is from RNAcentral.